RNAcentral lists this ribosomal RNA (774 nucleotides) under uncultured Neocallimastigales. Its description in RNAcentral is "partial large subunit ribosomal RNA". It matches the Rfam family "Eukaryotic large subunit ribosomal RNA", at positions 24 to 644 of the family's 3401-position model. Lineage: Eukaryota; Fungi; Neocallimastigomycota; Neocallimastigomycetes; Neocallimastigales. The record is from RNAcentral.
UAUGUGAUCGUCUCUCGCAUAUCAAUAAGCGGAGGAAAAGAAACUAACAAGGAUUCCCCUAGUAACGGCGAGUGAAGCGGGAAGAGCUCAAAUUUGAAAUCUUAAAGGGUUUCCCUUUACGAAUUGUAGUUUAAAGAAGUGUUUUCUGUUGAGGUUUUGGUAAAAGUUCUUUGGAAUAGGACAUCAUAGAGGGUGAGAAUCCCGUAUUUGACCUUUACUUUCAACUUUGUGAUACACUUUCAAAGAGUCGGAUUGUUUGGGAAUGCAGUCCAAAAUGGGUGGUAAAUUUCAUCUAAAGCUAAAUAUUGGCGAGAGACCGAUAGCGAACAAGUACCGUGAGGGAAAGAUGAAAAGAACUUUGAAAAGAGAGUUAAACAGUACGUGAAAUUGUCAAAAGGGAAGCGUUUGACACCAGUGCUGUUUUUCUGAAAAUCAAUUAAAGAACUGUUUAUGCUAAGUUGUUUAGACUUUAUCAGCUAACUGUUUAGUUUUGAGCUUUUCUUUAAUGCACUUUUCAGUUAACAAGUCAACAUCAAUUUCUUUUGCUGUAAAAAAGCUUGAGGAAGGUGGCUUGAGAUUCGUCUUAAGUGUUUAUAGCCUCUUGCCUAUGCAGUCGGAGAGAUUGAGGUCUGCAGCGUAGAUCCUUCGGGGCUAAAUGCAUUUGUGCUAAGUUAUAGCAUUUCAUAGACAACUUGUUGACUAUGAUUUGUCUUGUAGCUUACUCGCUUAUGUUAUUUUACCUACGCUUAGGAUGUUGACUGAUAUGUAGUCGUA